AUUGAACGCUGGCGGCAGGCUUAACACAUGCAAGUCGAGCGAGCGGCGGACGGGUGAGUAAUGUAUGGGGAUCUGCCCGAUGGAGGGGGAUAACUACUGGAAACGGUAGCUAAUACCGCAUACUAUCGGAUGAACCCAUAUGGGAUUAGCUAGUAGGUGAGGUAACGGCUCACCUAGGCGACGAUCCCUAGCUGGUCUGAGAGGAUGAUCAGCCACACUGGAACUGAGACACGGUCCAGACUCCUACGGGAGGCAGCAGUGGGGAAUAUUGCACAAUGGGCGCAAGCCUGAUGCAGCCAUGCCGCGUGUGUGAAGAAGGCCUUCGGGUUGUAAAGCACUUUCAGCGGGGAGGCGUUACUCGCAGAAGAAGCACCGGCUAACUCCGUGCCAGCAGCCGCGGUAAUAC
RNAcentral lists this ribosomal RNA (406 nucleotides) under uncultured bacterium. Its description in RNAcentral is "partial 16S ribosomal RNA". It matches the Rfam family "Bacterial small subunit ribosomal RNA", at positions 30 to 526 of the family's 1533-position model. The record is from RNAcentral.